UCGCGCUAGACGGGGAGCCAGCGGUGCCCUGUACCCGCAAUCCGCUAUAGCGGGGUCGAAUUCCUGCCGGAGGUGCGGCUGUUUGUGAAGUAUCUGUUCGAACGGCGUUGAUGGCUGGGCCCGGCGCAAUGGCUGAUCGGUGAACCCCGUCAGGUCCGGAAGGAAGCAGCGGUAAACCGGUUCACCCAUGUGCCGCCAGGUGUCCUGGCUGGAGCUUGUUCGGGCAGGAACACCCACGGGCGGCCGUAACGAAAGCAGGUGCGCGA
This 266-nucleotide signal recognition particle RNA is filed under the name Armatimonadota bacterium. Its description in RNAcentral is "Armatimonadetes bacterium (hot springs metagenome) signal recognition particle sRNA large type". It matches the Rfam family "Bacterial large signal recognition particle RNA". From Rfam's summary of the family: The signal recognition particle (SRP) is a universally conserved ribonucleoprotein involved in the co-translational targeting of proteins to membranes. Archaeal SRP consists of a 7S RNA and homologues of the eukaryotic SRP19 and SRP54 proteins. The record is from RNAcentral. Lineage: Bacteria; Bacillati; Armatimonadota.